AGGCGGCGCGGCCGGCCUCUUCGCCAAGCAAGUGCAGAAGAAGUUUAGCAGGGCCCAGGAGAAGAAUAUUUUCUUUGCUUCUAACCUGAGCCUCUGCUCUCCACCUACCAACCCUCUAGUAGACAAGGCGGUUUGGGAAGACAUGUCAGCCAGAAGAAAGAGAGAGGGAAGAAAGACAAGAAGGACCUGAGAUAGAGUUUCGGUUUUCCUUUUUUUCUCUCUCUCUUUAUUAAGCCCAACCUGCCUUCUACAACGGAGAAGUUUUGGUUUUCUAAGAGCUGAUGGACUUAGAAGCAUUUGGAUGAACAGCUCUGCUUACCAACUGAAAUAUCCCUAUUAUCUUCUAAAGGUGGAGCACUGGUUUGAGCCCUGGGAAGGCUUAAAGGCAACCAGCUCUCCCGAGUUGAUUUAUCAGCAGAAAACUGAUGGAAUGUAGAUGUAGCUCCUGACUUUAAGAGACCACAAUGGAAGGGAGGUUAUUUUCUAUCAUUUGAGGUCAUGUGAAAGAGAGGAGGAAAAGGGAAAGAGUUCAUGUAGCCAGACUUCGUUACUUCACUUACCCUAACUUCACCUUGAUCCUAGUUUCAGCCUCUCUGAAGACUUACAAAUCUGGUAGACCUGAGAGCAGGGCCUAUGGGAAGGUCUAGAUCGAAACAGUGUGGGCGAGCAGGAGGUACUGGAGAGAAGGCCACACUGUGGUUGAAAAAAAAAACCCUAAAAGACAAAACACUCAUG
RNAcentral lists this small RNA (735 nucleotides) under Pan troglodytes (chimpanzee). RNAcentral's name for it is "processed transcript". The record is from RNAcentral. Lineage: Eukaryota; Metazoa; Chordata; Mammalia; Primates; Hominidae.